GUUGGGCCGCUUUGUUCCGCGUCGCUCUCCACCCUCUCGGCCAACGGCAAAUCUAACCGACCUGAGCUGGAGUGGGGACGCUGGGAGUAGAAAUGCCCUGAGAGCGUCCUGGCGGAGGCGCAGAAAAGACAUGGUGGUGAGGCGCUUGGGUUUGGAGACGCACAAAACUGGGUUCUUUGAGCUCAGUUGCUCCCCGUGAAUUUGGAAUAAUGCACUAUCCAGAGCAUUUUCUCGAAUUAGGAGUUAAUUCGAUCCAGUGCGCCUUCCUCGGCACACUAGAAGACGGAAGCUCAAUGAGAUUAAGAAGUUUGCCCACGGUCAGACAGCUAGAAAGUGCCCGAACUGGGAGUUGAAGUUCAUUUGCGAGUGACCAGGAAUCAAAAUGCUCAUCUCAAGACUUAAUGAAGCUCAGGUUCUUUAUGUCUUGGCACAGAAGGAAUUCAGCGAGAGGCAAAGUGAUAGGU
Balaenoptera ricei (Rice's whale) is the source of this 464-nucleotide long non-coding RNA. RefSeq lists it as uncharacterized. The record is from RefSeq and is a predicted model, not a curated record. The transcript has 3 exons. Lineage: Eukaryota; Metazoa; Chordata; Mammalia; Artiodactyla; Balaenopteridae.